Molecule: ribosomal RNA, 350 nt
Filed under: Harveyus mexicanus
Lineage: Eukaryota; Metazoa; Arthropoda; Arachnida; Schizomida; Hubbardiidae
Description: partial small subunit ribosomal RNA
Source: RNAcentral
AUUUAAUUAAAUUUUUGAAUAAAUUUUAUAUGUAAAUCAAUUAUUAAGUUUAAAAAUAUUGGCAGUGUUUUAUUAAAUUCUGAGAAUCUUGCAUAAUUAAAGUGAUGAUACACAGUUUAUCUUAUCUUAAUUUUUGGUUUAUGUAUUGCUGUUUAAUUUAUGAUUUAAAAGUAAUAAGUUUAAUUAAUUUUUGUUAAGAAGUUCAAGUCAAAAUGUAAUUUUAUUAAGGUUUAUGUGAGUUGUGUUUUCUAAGAGUAGAGUAAUAAAGAAGAUUGAAAUAUUUUUAUUAAAGUAGAAUUAGGGUGUAAAAAGAGAAUAAUUUGUUCUUUUGAUAAUUUUUAUAAUCAUGU